Gigantopelta aegis is the source of this 312-nucleotide long non-coding RNA. RefSeq lists it as uncharacterized. The transcript has 3 exons. NCBI's taxonomy places the organism in Eukaryota, Metazoa, Mollusca, Gastropoda, Neomphalida, Peltospiridae. The record is from RefSeq and is a predicted model, not a curated record.
UGAAGCGAUACUACGUACAUUCUUUUGAAUGUGCACACGGAAUAGCUUUUUAACAUUUAUAAUCAUAUUUAUUUUGUAAUGAGUAUAAAUGUAAAAUCUAAUACUAACUAAUGACGACUGUUAACUGCUGUGAAAUUCUGUAUGGGCUGGAUAUAAGAAAUGAGGUGUGGCUGUUUGCUGGAAGACCUAGAGGCCGACUUGCCAGUUUUAGGUAAAUCAUUAUUGGUUACCCUGGCACUGUCUAAUGGUCUGGGGACAAGAAAAAAAGAAGAAAAAAAAAGAAGAUAUAUAUUAAUAAAGCACCAAGCUGGG